CUGGCUUCCUUAGAAAUUUGCUACUGUAAAGAAAGAGAAACUGAAAGUAGAGCAAAAUCAAACCUAAGCCUGUGAAGUGAGGAUGCCCUGGAAAUAUUGAACUUUGAAGCAGUUGUUUUGCUCAUAUUUUCCUGUCCUUUUCCCCCCCUCCACCUAAACAAUAAUUUAAUGUCAGAUUCUUUGAUAGUUUUAGAUUUGUCCUAUUUUCCACUUGCAUGAAAAUAUGCCUUGACAAGAUUGUCACAUGGUCACGUUACUUUUAACUGGCUCACAAAAAGAAAAUGCUAUACUGUACAUAUUAAGUUAAAGAAGUAUAGGUAUCUAAACUUAACUUGGGUAAACUCCACAUUUUUUUCUCCUCAAUUAAAGAUUAGCCAUUGGAGGGCAUGGAUGUAAUGCCACAUAAAUUAAGUUCGGUAUAUCCAUAGCAGUUCUGAAAAGCUCCAAACAAUUUUUGCUCUAACUUCUCUUACUAUAGCUCAGGAAUAUAUAGCAUGUGUUCACUUAUUGUAAGGUGGUGCUUCUGUCUUUUAAUUUGCAUUUUCUGUUUGGGUCCAGCCAAAACGAAAAUAACUUUCAAUAAGAGUAAUUAAAAAAAAAAUGUUUUUAAAAUACAAUAUUCAAACAAUCGGAGUUUAUUUUACCACGUUUUCCAAAGAAAUAUCUUUUUGGGUGGUGGCUUUAUAGAAAACAAUAUUUUUUCCAAUUAUUGGAUUAAUGUUAAAUUAUGUGCUAAGACUUGAGAAUUUUUCUUCUUUGAAAAGCUAUUUUUGGCUUGACUUCUGAAGGAAAUUUACAACAGACAGACCAGCUAUUAGGAAUCUCUAAUGGAAAAGUCCAGGCCAUUUCCUUUAUCAAUCAUAUGCUAGAAGCAGUUACAUUUUAAUGUUGUAAUAGAAAGAAAAAACAUACUAAUCUAGUCUGGACUUGUUUUUCAAGUAAAUAUUUUUAUUAAAAACAAAAUUGCACAAAUAGUUCCAAUCAUAUUAUGCCCUGUUGCAGGUGGCUUUGACUGUAAAUUUAGGUUGAAAUAUUUAUUUGUUUUAAUACCUUUUUACAUAAGCAUCACAGUAAUAGAUGAACGUUGCAUACAUAUUAACUGCCUAUUAUACAUUUUGUUUUCUUUUAUGCAAAUAGUUCCUGUUUACAAUGUGGCAUGUUUCAAUGAAGAAUCAGAUGUGACAAAGGACAGAUUUUGCCUGGAGAGUUCUUUGACACAUUGUGUGUAAUAUUGCUUUUGUUGUAAGCUUUCUGUUUCAAAGAAAGCAGUCAUGUUCUAUAUGUAAAUUAUGUGAAUAAAUAAUUUUAUAUCA
Molecule: long non-coding RNA, 1313 nt
Organism: Alligator sinensis (Chinese alligator)
Lineage: Eukaryota; Metazoa; Chordata; Crocodylia; Alligatoridae
Exons: 2
Source: RefSeq, a predicted model, not a curated record